UUCCGGUUGAUCCCGCCGGAGGCCAUUGCUAUCGGUGUCCGAUUUAGCCAUGCGAGUCGCACGUUCAACGUGGCGAACGGCUCAGUAACACGUGNUCAAACUACCCUACGGACCGUGAUAACCUCGGGAAACUGAGGCUAAUAACGGAUGUCGCUCCCGAGCUGGGAUGCUGGGAGCGAUAAAGCUCCGGCGCCGUAGGAUGUGACUGCGGCCGAUUAGGUAGACGGUGGGGUAAUGGCCCACCGUGCCGAUAAUCGGUACGGGUUGUGAGAGCAAGAACCCGGAGACGGACUCUGAGACAAGAGUCCGGGCCCUACGGGGCGCAGCAGGCGCGAAACCUUUACACUGCACGCAAGUGCGAUAGGGGGACACCGAGUGCGAGGGCAUAGAGCCCUCGCUUUUGUGCAUCGUAAGGUGGUACACGAAUAAGGGCUGGGCAAGACCGGUGCCAGCCGCCGCGGUAACACCGGCAGCCCGAGUGAUGGCCGCUUUUAUUGGGCCUAAAGCGUCCGUAGCCGGCCGUUCAGGUCCGUCGGGAAAUCCACUGGCUCAACCAGUGGGCGUCCGGCGGAAACCGAUCGGCUUGGGACAGGGAGACCAGAGGGGUACGUCCGGGGUAGGAGUGAAAUCCUGUAAUCCUGGACGGACCACCGGUGGCGAAAGCGCCUCUGGAGAACUGAUCCGACGGUGAGGGACGAAAGCUGGGGUCUCGAACCGGAUUAGAUACCCGGGUAGUCCCAGCUGUAAACAAUGCUCGCUAGGUGUGUCGCAGGCUACGAGCCUGCGAUGUGCCGUAGGGAAGCCGAGAAGCGAGCCGCCUGGGAAGUACGUCCGCAAGGAUGAAACUUAAAGGAAUUGGCGGGGGAGCACUACAACCGGAGGAGCCUGCGGUUUAAUUGGAUUCAACGCCGGA
This 913-nucleotide ribosomal RNA is filed under the name uncultured archaeon. RNAcentral describes it as "bacterial SSU rRNA". It matches the Rfam family "Archaeal small subunit ribosomal RNA", at positions 1 to 922 of the family's 1478-position model. The record is from RNAcentral.